GACGAACGCUGGCGGCGUGCUUAACACAUGCAAGUCGAACGGUAAGGCUCCAGCUUGCUGGGGUACGCGAGUGGCGAACGGGUGAGUAACACGUGGGUGACCUGCCCUGCACUUCGGGAUAAGCCUGGGAAACUGGGUCUAAUACCGGAUAGGACUGCACCGUGAGGGUGUGGUGGAAAGUUUUUUCGGUGUGGGAUGGGCCCGCGGCCUAUCAGCUUGUUGGUGGGGUAAUGGCCUACCAAGGCGGCGACGGGUAGCCGGCCUGAGAGGGUGGACGGCCACAUUGGGACUGAGACACGGCCCAGACUCCUACGGGAGGCAGCAGUGGGGAAUAUUGCACAAUGGGCGGAAGCCUGAUGCAGCGACGCCGCGUGGGGGAUGACGGCCUUCGGGUUGUAAACUCCUUUCACCAUCGACGAAGGGUUUCUGACGGUAGAUGGAGAAGAAGCACCGGCUAACUACGUGCCAGCAGCCGCGGUAAUACGUAGGGUGCGAGCGUUGUCCGGAAUUACUGGGCGUAAAGAGCUCGUAGGUGGUUUGUCGCGUCGUCUGUGAAAUUCCGGGGCUUAACUCCGGGCGUGCAGGCGAUACGGGCAUAACUUGAGUACUGUAGGGGAGACUGGAAUUCCUGGUGUAGCGGUGAAAUGCGCAGAUAUCAGGAGGAACACCGGUGGCGAAGGCGGGUCUCUGGGCAGUAACUGACGCUGAGGAGCGAAAGCAUGGGGAGCGAACAGGAUUAGAUACCCUGGUAGUCCAUGCCGUAAACGGUGGGCGCUAGGUGUGGGUUUCCUUCCACGGGAUCCGUGCCGUAGCUAACGCAUUAAGCGCCCCGCCUGGGGGGUACGGCCGCAAGGCUAAAACUCAAAGGAAUUGACGGGGGCCCGCACAAGCGGCGGAGCAUGUGGAUUAAUUCGAUGCAACGCGAAGAACCUUACCUGGGCUUGACAUAUACAGGAUCGCGCCAGAGAUGGUGUUUCCCUUGUGGCUUGUAUACAGGUGGUGCAUGGUUGUCGUCAGCUCGUGUCGUGAGAUGUUGGGUUAAGUCCCGCAACGAGCGCAACCCUUGUCUUAUGUUGCCAGCACGUUGUGGUGGGGACUCGUAAGAAACUGCCGGGGUUAACUCGGAGGAAGGUGGGGAUGACGUCAAAUCAUCAUGCCCCUUAUGUCCAGGGCUUCACACAUGCUACAAUGGUCGGUACAGUGGGUUGCCAGUCCGUGAGGGCGAGCUAAUCCCGCAAAGCCGGUCUCAGUUCGGAUCGGGGUCUGCAACUCGACCCCGUGAAGUCGGAGUCGCUAGUAAUCGCAGAUCAGCAACGCUGCGGUGAACACGUUCCCGGGCCU
RNAcentral lists this ribosomal RNA (1341 nucleotides) under uncultured bacterium. Its description in RNAcentral is "partial 16S ribosomal RNA". It matches the Rfam family "Bacterial small subunit ribosomal RNA", at positions 28 to 1381 of the family's 1533-position model. The record is from RNAcentral.